Long non-coding RNA from Myripristis murdjan (pinecone soldierfish), 299 nucleotides. RefSeq lists it as uncharacterized. NCBI's taxonomy places the organism in Eukaryota, Metazoa, Chordata, Actinopteri, Holocentriformes, Holocentridae. The transcript has 3 exons. The record is from RefSeq and is a predicted model, not a curated record.
CCCUGAUUAACAAAAUGUUCCUGAGGAGGUAAAAAACAAAAGAACUGAAGCUGCUGUGUGGAUGUGGCACUGAUCACAUGUUCCACAGGUUCCUCUGGUGUGACCCACCUCAUGUUGGCUCUUCGUGUUGCAGAGCUGCUCCUCCUCACUGUAACGACCGCUCUGCUCAUCAGAACGUGGCGCAGAACAAGAGGUGAAGAAAGGUGUUCUCUUUGUGUUUUUCCAGUGAAGAUGAAAACACCUGAGGGCAACGCUGUGCAUAACGAUAAUGAUGAUGGCGGUUCAGUGAACUAUGACGA